RNAcentral lists this ribosomal RNA (463 nucleotides) under Streptococcus sanguinis. RNAcentral describes it as "bacterial SSU rRNA". It matches the Rfam family "Bacterial small subunit ribosomal RNA", at positions 28 to 474 of the family's 1533-position model. The record is from RNAcentral. Lineage: Bacteria; Bacillati; Bacillota; Bacilli; Lactobacillales; Streptococcaceae.
GACGAACGCUGGCGGCGUGCCUAAUACAUGCAAGUAGAACGCUGAAGAGAGGAGCUUGCUCUUCUUGGAUGAGUUGCGAACGGGUGAGUAACGCGUAGGUAACCUGCCUGGUAGCGGGGGAUAACUAUUGGAAACGAUAGCUAAUACCGCAUGACAUUGAUUAUCGCAUGAUAAUUGAUUGAAAGAUGCAAUUGCAUCACUACCAGAUGGACCUGCGUUGUAUUAGCUAGUUGGUGAGGUAACGGCUCACCAAGGCGACGAUACAUAGCCGACCUGAGAGGGUGAUCGGCCACACUGGGACUGAGACACGGCCCAGACUCCUACGGGAGGCAGCAGUAGGGAAUCUUCGGCAAUGGGGGGAACCCUGACCGAGCAACGCCGCGUGAGUGAAGAAGGUUUUCGGAUCGUAAAGCUCUGUUGUAAGAGAAGAACGGGUGUGAGAGUGGAAAGUUCACACUGGACG